This 780-nucleotide ribosomal RNA is filed under the name uncultured bacterium. RNAcentral describes it as "bacterial SSU rRNA". It matches the Rfam family "Bacterial small subunit ribosomal RNA", at positions 56 to 817 of the family's 1533-position model. The record is from RNAcentral.
UGCAAGUCGAGCGCGAAAGCGGACUUCGGUCUGCGAGUAGAGCGGCGAACGGGUGAGUAACGCGUGGGUGAUCUGCCUUCGAGUGGGGAAUAACACCGGGAAACUGGUGCUAAUACCGCAUGACAUCCUCGGUUCGUUCUGGGGAUCAAAGCUGGGGACCGUAAGGCCUGGCGCUUGAAGAGGAGCCCGCGUCCGAUUAGCUUGUUGGCGGGGUAAUGGCCCACCAAGGCUUCUAUCGGUAGCCGGCCUGAGAGGGCGGACGGCCACACUGGGACUGAGACACGGCCCAGACUCCUACGGGAGGCAGCAGUGGGGAAUUUUCCGCAAUGGGGGAAACCCUGACGGAGCAACGCCGCGUGGAGGAUGAAGGCCCUCGGGUCGUAAACUCCUGUCGAUCGGGAAGAAUGCGUCCGACCCAAUACGUCGGCACGUUGACUGUACCGGUGGAGGAAGCCACGGCUAACUCUGUGCCAGCAGCCGCGGUAAGACAGAGGUGGCAAGCGUUGUUCGGAAUUACUGGGCGUAAAGGGCGCGCAGGCGGUUCGCCAAGUCCCGUGUGAAAUCCCCCGGCUCAACUGGGGAACUGCGCGGGAAACUAGUGGACUUGAGUUCGGGAGAGGAAAGCGGAAUUCCGGGUGUAGCGGUGAAAUGCGCAGAUAUCCGGAGGAACACCAGUGGCGAAGGCGGCUUUCUGGACCGACACUGACGCUGAGGCGCGAAAGCUAGGGGAGCGAACGGGAUUAGAUACCCCGGUAGUCCUAGCCCUAAACGAUGAGCACU